Molecule: ribosomal RNA, 651 nt
Filed under: Bacillus subtilis
Lineage: Bacteria; Bacillati; Bacillota; Bacilli; Caryophanales; Bacillaceae
Description: bacterial SSU rRNA
Rfam family: Bacterial small subunit ribosomal RNA
Source: RNAcentral
CGAUAGAGAUGUGGAGGAACACCAGUGGCGAAGGCGACUCUCUGGUCUGUAACUGACGCUGAGGAGCGAAAGCGUGGGGAGCGAACAGGAUUAGAUACCCUGGUAGUCCACGCCGUAAACGAUGAGUGCUAAGUGUUAGGGGGUUUCCGCCCCUUAGUGCUGCAGCUAACGCAUUAAGCACUCCGCCUGGGGAGUACGGUCGCAAGACUGAAACUCAAAGGAAUUGACGGGGGCCCGCACAAGCGGUGGAGCAUGUGGUUUAAUUCGAAGCAACGCGAAGAACCUUACCAGGUCUUGACAUCCUCUGACAAUCCUAGAGAUAGGACGUCCCCUUCGGGGGCAGAGUGACAGGUGGUGCAUGGUUGUCGUCAGCUCGUGUCGUGAGAUGUUGGGUUAAGUCCCGCAACGAGCGCAACCCUUGAUCUUAGUUGCCAGCAUUCAGUUGGGCACUCUAAGGUGACUGCCGGUGACAAACCGGAGGAAGGUGGGGAUGACGUCAAAUCAUCAUGCCCCUUAUGACCUGGGCUACACACGUGCUACAAUGGACAGAACAAAGGGCAGCGAAACCGCGAGGUUAAGCCAAUCCCACAAAUCUGUUCUCAGUUCGGAUCGCAGUCUGCAACUCGACUGCGUGAAGCUGGAAUCGCUAGU